Molecule: ribosomal RNA, 497 nt
Filed under: uncultured bacterium
Lineage: Bacteria
Description: partial 16S ribosomal RNA
Rfam family: Bacterial small subunit ribosomal RNA
Source: RNAcentral
GAUGAACGCUGGCGGCGUGCCUAAUACAUGCAAGUCGAGCGAACGGACGAGAAGCUUGCUUCUCUUAUGUUAGCGGCGGACGGGUGUGUAACACGUGGAUAACCUACCUAUAAGACUGGGAUAACUUCGGGAAACCGGAGCUAAUACCGGAUAAUAUUUUGAACCGCAUGGUUCAAAAGUGAAAGACGGUCUUGCUGUCACUUAUAGAUGGUUCCGCGCUGCAUUAGCUAGUUGGUAAGGUAACGGCUUAACAAGGCAACGAUGCAUAGCCGACCUGAGAGGGUGAUCGGACACACUGGAACUGAGACACGGACCAGACUCCUACGGGAGGCAGCAGUAGGGAAUCUUCCGCAAUGGGCGAAAGCCUGACGGAGCAAAGCCGCGUGAGUGAUGAAGGUCUUCGGAUCGUAAAACUCUGUUAUUAGGGAAGAACAAAUGUGUAAGUAACUGUGCACAUCUUGACGGUACCUAAUCAGAAAGCCACGGCUAACUACGUG